GUAGGUGGCAAGCGUUGUCCGGAAUUAUUGGGCGUAAAGCGCGCGCAGGCGGUCCUUUAAGUCUGAUGUGAAAGCCCACGGCUCAACCGUGGAGGGUCAUUGGAAACUGGGGGACUUGAGUACAGAAGAGGAAAGCGGAAUUCCAAGUGUAGCGGUGAAAUGCGUAGAGAUUUGGAGGAACACCAGUGGCGAAGGCGGCUUUCUGGUCUGUAACUGACGCUGAGGCGCGAAAGCGUGGGGAGCAAACAGGGAUUAGAUACCCUGGUAGUCCACGCCGUAAACGAUGAGUGCUAAGUGUUAGGGGGUUUCCCGCCCCUUAGUGCUGCAGCUAACGCAUUAAGCACUCCGCCCCGGGGGUAGUACGGCCGCAAGGCUG
This 376-nucleotide ribosomal RNA is filed under the name uncultured organism. RNAcentral describes it as "partial 16S ribosomal RNA". It matches the Rfam family "Bacterial small subunit ribosomal RNA", at positions 527 to 896 of the family's 1533-position model. The record is from RNAcentral.